UGUGUAUGUUAUUUGGUUUCUCUUUAUUCUAUAGUUGUUGUCUGCAGGGAUUGAAAAUAUGGAAAAGUUGUCAGGUUUAAGCCAUCUGUUUAUGACAAUUUUCCUGCACAACUUCUCCACAUUUAUGGUGAUCCCUGCCAUCACAGAUGUUACAAUGGCUGCGCUUUGCCCUGGAAGAGAUGAAUGUUCAGUAGCCAUCUACUUGACAGGAUUCCAACAAGCGAUCAUAGGGCUGGGGACAUUGGUGAUGAUGCCUUUGGUAGGAAAUCUGUCGGACAAGUAUGGGAGGAAAGCUUUGCUUGGUUUACCAAUGGGUCUUGCUAUAAUUCCUCUAGCCACAUUGGCAUACAGCAGAACCAGGAGCUUCUUCUACGCAUAUUAUGUGCUUAGGACUCUCACUGCCAUGGUUUGCGAAGGAAGCGUCCACUGCCUCGCUCUUGCUUAUGUGGCGGACAGGGUUCCUGAAGGGCGACGAGCAUCGGCGUUUGGAAUCCUUUCAGGUAUUGGAUCUUCGGCGUUCGUUUGUGGAACACUCUCUACUCGUUUCCUCUCCACUGCCUCCACUUUCCAGGUUGCGGCCUCAGUGGCAAUCGUGGCCUUAGUGUACAUGAGGGUUUUCCUUCAGGAUUCAAUCGUUGAUGGAAACAUUUCCACACCAAUACUCUCCAAUGGAAAGAGCAAAGUUGAUGUGAUUGGAAAUUCAAGUAAGAACGUGCAGAUUUUUAAAACCAUGCCUUCCUUGGAGGAUAUGCUUUGCUUGCUUAAGAGCAGGUUAGUGGUUCUUUCUAAGCGCUUCAUUAUGAUUUAUCAACGCUUUCAGCAAUCGCAAUUUUGAUCAAUUUAUACUGGAAGGGGGGAGAAUUCUUUCAAUAAAUUUCUCAAUAACUUACUUUGGAUGAUAUCUGUAAUCAGCACCAAAUGGCAUGGUUGUGUAGUAGAAAUCUUGUAUCAGCUUCCAGAGUACUAAUCGAUCUACGUUGUGCUUUUCUUUUGGUCUCAAUAAUUAUACAUAAAGUUUAUUCGCAGUGUUACGUUGUCACAAGCUGCUGUGGUUGCAUUUUUCAUCAAUUUUUCGGAAGUUGGCCUUCAUGCUUCGCUAAUGGUACUUCCCUAAUUUCACACAAAUUAGACUUCCCAGUGUUUGUUCUGCAUUUAUAGGAAUGGCCAUAGUUUCAGGUGCCGUUGAACUGUUUUGAACAUCAAAAAGGUACUGGAUUCAAGAUAUUCCUGAUGGUCUUUUGUACUCCUAAGUUCAAGCUAUCUUACCUUGACCUUAGCUCAGGUGUUAUCGCAUGAAUAAACUUAGAUAGGCAUGAUAGGCUUUAAGGCAAUACUAUAGUACUGUAUUCCAUUUCUGGCCAUCUUUCAUGAUUAAACUUCUCUACUUCAAUUUUGGAUCAGUGAACUUCUUUUAUACAAGAUGACAAUUGAAUUAGGGUGCACUUGAUGUUUUAUUAAAAAGAGUGAAUAGGUUUGCUGUUGUUACUUGUUAGUGAUCUACAGUGAACAUUUUGAGUUUCAGUUAAGGAAUAGUCUCAGUAUACAACCAAUUUAUUGGCUGUGGCUUAUCAAAGGACUUUUUGAAGCUGAAAAUCUGCCCUCUGUGAUCCUUUCUGCAACGGCCUGAUGUUGUAUGUCAGUGCACCUAGGAGUGGGAGGUAGUGACCCCUAGUCAUAGUGCUGUAAGUUGUGGACUGCAGUGGGAGGCUUCAUAUAAAUGUGAAUCAAUAUAUAUAUAUAUUUUAUAGAAGGUCAUCUAAAAGUAAAUGCAUACUCAGGAUUUGAAGUCCUGUAUGUGCCUGUAGCACAAACAAGCUGAACAGAUUCAUGCCCUCACCAUAGAGAUCUUAAGUUUUUUAGCUGUGGGAACUGACUUUUAAACUAAGCCUCAAUUAAAUGUUUUGACUCAUUGCAAUAGUGCUUGAUAAAACAAAUUGAAGGUAUUGAAUUUUUUCCCCUAUGCAGUACUACUUAAAGGCACGAUUUCACUUUAAUAAGAAUCAGUUUGCUGACUUAAUGGUAAUUUCUGGGAUUGCUGGGACCAUUUCACAGUUGCUUCUCAUGCCCAUGCUGGCUCCUGCUUUAGGAGAGGGGAGGUUGCUUUCAAUAGGUCUCUUCUUUACAUGCACACAUAUGUUUCUUUACAGCAUUGCGUGGUCCUUCUGGGUACCUUAUGCUGCUGCUAUGCUCUCGAUUUUUUUUGUGUUUUCACAACCAUGUAUGCGGACAAUUGUGUCGAAGCAAGUUGGGACCUCUGAGCAGGGAAAGGCUCAAGGAUGUAUCUCAGGCAUCGGUUCCUUUGCCAAUGUCGUUUCUCCCUUAGUGUUCUCACCUUUAACAGCUUUGUUCCUAUCUGAAAGAGCACCAUUUCAUUUCCCUGGUUUCAGUAUAAUGUGCGUCGGAUUCGCUUCGAUGAUAGCCAUGAUUCAGAGUACCAUGAUGAGGGUGGCUCCUCCCAUUUCAAAUGAGAGAAUCAGUAAUAGCAACUACAUGGAUGCGUAAUCAUGCCAAGAGACUUCAAAAUGCGUUUGUUGCUUUCUACCUUCAUAUUGAGCCCUACUAUUUAUUGUGUGCUAGUGAAAUAGUAUAUUUGUGGGCCUAGAAAAUCUGAACCUGAAAUUGAAACCUAGCACUGUUGGUUGUAGGAGUAGCCAUAAGAUUUAAACCAUUUGAUGUUAUGGAUAGUGAGUAUCUCAUUGUAGUAGCAUUGAGUAGAGGAGACUCAAAAUGUGAGAGCCUAAAAUAUGGAAGUGGAUCAGUGAUAACCGCAGUGGAGUUUGUAUGGCGUCCAUGUCUGUUUAUUAUUAUUUCUUUUGGCAGUCCGUGGUAUUAGUUAGAUGUGGCUAUAAAUAGAAAAGCUCAGUUUGUAUGGCGUCCAUGUCUGUUUAUUAUUAUUUCUUUUGGCAGUCCGUGGUAUUAGUUAGAUGUGGCUAUAAAUAGAAAAGCUCAGUUUGUAUGUUAUGCAAUGAACUUAUAGGUAUGUAUCAGAAACCACAUUCUUCGCAUUGAUAUUGUAUUUCUAUGAUAUGCAUUAGAAACUACAUUCUUGGCAUUGAAUCAGACUGAAAUCAAAUCAUAAUCAUUUGAUUUGAUUCUGAGUU
RNAcentral lists this unclassified non-coding RNA (3101 nucleotides) under Hevea brasiliensis (rubber tree). The record is from RNAcentral. Lineage: Eukaryota; Viridiplantae; Streptophyta; Magnoliopsida; Malpighiales; Euphorbiaceae.